AUGGAUUCAAUUGCACGGCUUCCCUUCGACCUCAUCCGGCGCAGCGUCACCCAUCCAUGAACAUGUCAAUGGCGAUUGAGAAGAGUUCCGAAUAAAUCGAGCAAAAAAAUAAAAAUAAAAAGUUGAUCGACGCAGGGAAACAAGAUCGGAGGUGGCAAGCGAGAGAUUAGAGGAGGAGAAAGAGUCAAGCAUGGAAGGAAUCGAGCAAAUCAAAUCAUCAAAGGAGAAAGAUCGCAUGGCGGGUGCUCGCUUUUGGAUUUUGCCCUGGUCAAUGAAAGCCAAGACGAGAAGGUGCAGAAACAACCUUCCUUUUUUCUCCGCAACCGCCUUCGCUUACCCUACGCCCCUUCUCUAUAUCUACCUCUCUUGUCUUCAUCGUCCCUUCUUUGUCCGCUUGUUUCGAAGAAGAAGAAGAUGAGGAGGGUCGCCGAGGAGACAUCGCCAUCCACUUCUUGCGCUGCCCCUAAUGGCGACGAUGUCAGGAAAAGAUUCAGAUUCCAAUCGCUCUUUCAAGAUUACAUGGAAUUGAUUAAGGAAACUGAAGAAAAGAAGAGGAGACUGGUGGAGAGUGGAGACGAGACAAAAGAAACGGAGACUCUUGUCUGAAGUCAGAUUUUUGAGAAGAAAAUAUGAGAUUCUAUCUGCAAACCAAUGUCAGCAAUUUAGAUUGAAGGAGCCAUCUGACACAGAGCCCGUGAUCAUUGAUCAACCUGGGAACAAGCUUGUUCUCAGCGGAAAGCCUCCUACAGGAAAGAAGCCCAAACCAUCUGAAGCUGCACGUACAAGUAACUACAAUUUGAAUUCUUUGAAUACACAUACAUCUCAGUGUCAGUUUACAAAGACAUCUCGGAAAAGGCCAGCCGAAUCCCUGUGCUUUGUACAAUCUUCAUCAACGCACUUCAGGGUAAUGGAAGCUGCAAAUGCUAGCACUUCAGCAACGCUAGGUGUGAAUGAAGUAGCUUUUAAGAAUGGGCAAGAAAUGAACCAGUUUAAGUUGGAGCAGAAUCACAAGCAAAUGCAGAAGUUCAAUAGAGUGCCUAUGAUUGGAGGGGGCUCAAAAGAUAAGUUGGCUAUUUGUAGAGAUCCUGGAAACAACUCCAAGAAGAUUGGUAAGAGAAAACUCUCUUGGCGAGACCCACUGGUGUUGGAGGUUUGAAGUUUGAUGGGAAACUUUGCUUUUAGUUGUCACUAGCUCAUACAAGGUGAGAUGGAGAACGCAACUGUAUUCUUGUUACAAACGGAUAAAUCUAUGAAUAUUCUAUCUACUGCCACGGUGCAGUUCAUCUAAAAAUAUUUUGUGAAUAAGCUAGUUGGUUUGUCUCUAUUCGAUCUA
Long non-coding RNA from Zingiber officinale, 1333 nucleotides. RefSeq lists it as uncharacterized. Lineage: Eukaryota; Viridiplantae; Streptophyta; Magnoliopsida; Zingiberales; Zingiberaceae. The record is from RefSeq and is a predicted model, not a curated record. The transcript is spliced from 4 exons.